RNAcentral lists this ribosomal RNA (449 nucleotides) under uncultured bacterium. RNAcentral's name for it is "partial 16S ribosomal RNA". It matches the Rfam family "Bacterial small subunit ribosomal RNA", at positions 29 to 523 of the family's 1533-position model. The record is from RNAcentral.
AAUGGACGCUGGCGGCAUGCCUAACACAUGCAAGUCGAACGAAGGCUUCGGCCUUAGUGGCGCACGGGUGCGUAACGCGUGGGAAUCUGCCCUCAGGUUCGGAAUAACAGCGAGAAAUUGCUGCUAAUACCGGAUGAUAUUGCGAGAUCAAAGAUUUAUCGCCUGAGGAUGAGCCCGCGUAGGAUUAGCUAGUUGGUGUGGUAAAGGCGCACCAAGGCGACGAUCCUUAGCUGGUCUGAGAGGAUGAUCAGCCACACUGGGACUGAGACACGGCCCAGACUCCUACGGGAGGCAGCAGUGGGGAAUAUUGGACAAUGGGCGAAAGCCUGAUCCAGCAAUGCCGCGUGAGUGAUGAAGGCCUUAGGGUUGUAAAGCUCUUUUACCCGGGAUGAUAAUGACAGUACCGGGAGAAUAAGCUCCGGCUAACUCCGUGCCAGCCGCCGCGGUAA